UACGAAGGGGGCUAGCGUUGCUCGGAAUCACUGGGCGUAAAGCGCACGUAGGCGGACUCUUAAGUCGGUGGUGAAAUCCUGGAGCUCAACUCCAGAACUGCCUUCGAUACUGAGAGUCUCGAGUCCGGGAGAGGUGAGUGGAACUGCGAGUGUAGAGGUGAAAUUCGUUGAUAUUCGGAAGAACACCAGUGGCGAAGGCGGCCAACUGGUCCACUACUGACGCUGAGGUGCGAAAGCGUGGGGAGCAAACAGG
RNAcentral lists this ribosomal RNA (253 nucleotides) under uncultured bacterium. RNAcentral's name for it is "partial 16S ribosomal RNA". It matches the Rfam family "Bacterial small subunit ribosomal RNA", at positions 524 to 776 of the family's 1533-position model. The record is from RNAcentral.